GAAUUUUGGACAAUGGGCGAAAGCCUGAUCCAGCCAUGCCGCGUGCAGGAUGAAGGCCUUCGGGUUGUAAACUGCUUUUGUACGGAACGAAACAGUUCUCUCUAAUACAGGGGGCGAAUGACGGUACCGUAAGAAUAAGCACCGGCUAACUACGUGCCAGCAGCCGCGGUAAUACGUAGGGUGCAAGCGUUAAGCGGAAGUACUGGGCGUAAAGCGUGCGCAGGCGGUUAUAUAAGACAGAUGUGAAAUCCCCGGGCUCAACCUGGGAACUGCAUUAGUGACUGUAUAGCUAGAGUGCGGCAGAGGGGGAUGGAAUUCCGCGUGUAGCAGUGAAAUGCGUAGAUAUGCGGAGGAACACCGAUGGCGAAGGCAAUCCCCUGGGCCUGCACUGACGCUCAUGCACGAAAGCGUGGGGAGCAAACAGG
This 425-nucleotide ribosomal RNA is filed under the name uncultured bacterium. Its description in RNAcentral is "bacterial SSU rRNA". It matches the Rfam family "Bacterial small subunit ribosomal RNA", at positions 359 to 776 of the family's 1533-position model. The record is from RNAcentral.